CUAGCUGGUGGGUCCUAUCCCGUUGUAAAAGCUCGUCUGGGAUCCGGCUAUGAAAAAGCUCGGCUGAAGUCUACCUGUAAUGGAAGUUUGGAAGAAAUGUGCUUACAGUAGGGGCUCGAAUGGAGUUUGCUCACAGUAGAGAUCCAGAGCAGACCACCUGCUGUAGGAGUUCGGAGUAGACCGCUCGUAGUAGAAGUUCGGAGUAGACCAUUUGUAGUAGAAGUUCGGCCCUCG
RNAcentral lists this long non-coding RNA (234 nucleotides) under Elaeis guineensis (African oil palm). RNAcentral's name for it is "long non-coding RNA (EGUI_LNC069960)". The record is from RNAcentral. Lineage: Eukaryota; Viridiplantae; Streptophyta; Magnoliopsida; Arecales; Arecaceae.